GGCGGCGUGCCUAAUACAUGCAAGUCGAACGAACUCUGGUAUUGAUUGGUGCUUGCAUCAUGAUUUACAUUUGAGUGAGUGGCGAACUGGUGAGUAACACGUGGGAAACCUGCCCAGAAGCGGGGGAUAACACCUGGAAACAGAUGCUAAUACCGCAUAACAACUUGGACCGCAUGGUCCGAGUUUGAAAGAUGGCUUCGGCUAUCACUUUUGGAUGGUCCCGCGGCGUAUUAGCUAGAUGGUGGGGUAACGGCUCACCAUGGCAAUGAUACGUAGCCGACCUGAGAGGGUAAUCGGCCACAUUGGGACUGAGACACGGCCCAAACUCCUACGGGAGGCAGCAGUAGGGAAUCUUCCACAAUGGACGAAAGUCUGAUGGAACAACCCCCCGUGAGUGAAGAAGGGUUUCGGCUCGUAAAACUCUGUUGUUAAAGAAGAACAUAUCUGAGAGUAACUGUUCAGGUAUUGACGGUAUUUAACCAGAAAGCCACGGCUAACUACGUGCCAGCAGCCGCGGUAAUACGUAGGUGGCAAGCGUUGUCCGGAUUUAUUGGGCGUAAAGCGAGCGCAGGCGGUUUUUUAAGUCUGAUGUGAAAGCCUUCGGCUCAACCGAAGAAGUGCAUCGGAAACUGGGAAACUUGAGUGCAGAAGAGGACAGUGGAACUCCAUGUGUAGCGGUGAAAUGCGUAGAUAUAUGGAAGAACACCAGUGGCGAAGGCGGCUGUCUGGUCUGUAACUGACGCUGAGGCUCGAAAGUAUGGGUAGCAAACAGGAUUAGAUACCCUGGUAGUCCAUACCGUAAACGAUGAAUGCUAAGUGUUGGAGGGUUUCCGCCCUUCAGUGCUGCAGCUAACGCAUUAAGCAUUCCGCCUGGGGAGUACGGCCGCAAGGCUGAAACUCAAAGGAAUUGACGGGGGCCCGCACAAGCGGUGGAGCAUGUGGUUUAAUUCGAAGCUACGCGAAGAACCUUACCAGGUCUUGACAUACUAUGCAAAUCUAAGAGAUUAGACGUUCCCUUCGGGGACAUGGAUACAGGUGGCGCAUGGUUGUCGUCAGCUCGUGUCGUGAGAUGUUGGGUUAAGUCCCGCAACGAGCGCAACCCUUAUUAUCAGUUGCCAGCAUUAAGUUGGGCACUCUGGUGAGACUGCCGGUGACAAACCGGAGGAAGGUGGGGAUGACGUCAAAUCAUCAUGCCCCUUAUGACCUGGGCUACACACGUGCUACAAUGGAUGGUACAACGAGUUGCGAACUCGCGAGAGUAAGCUAAUCUCUUAAAGCCAUUCUCAGUUCGGAUUGUAGGCUGCAACUCGCCUACAUGAAGUCGGAAUCGCUAGUAAUCGCGGAUCAGCAUGCCGCGGUGAAUACGUUCCCGGGCCUUGUACACACCGCCCGUCACACCAUGAGAGUUUGUGU
RNAcentral lists this ribosomal RNA (1413 nucleotides) under Lactiplantibacillus pentosus. RNAcentral describes it as "bacterial SSU rRNA". It matches the Rfam family "Bacterial small subunit ribosomal RNA". Lineage: Bacteria; Bacillati; Bacillota; Bacilli; Lactobacillales; Lactobacillaceae. The record is from RNAcentral.